This 1909-nucleotide long non-coding RNA is filed under the name Oryctolagus cuniculus (rabbit). Its description in RNAcentral is "lncRNA (ENSOCUG00000036846.1)". The record is from RNAcentral. Lineage: Eukaryota; Metazoa; Chordata; Mammalia; Lagomorpha; Leporidae.
AAGGGUGAUAAACCUUGUCCCGAUCUCUUAGACUAAGAAUCAAGGAGAAGUUGGGAAAGGGCCAAAACACUUAAAGUAGGGAGAAAUUGUGGCCGAAUUACAGUAGGAGUCUAACGGGGACUACAACUCCCAGAGACCCAUGCGGCAAAGACCGAGUUUAUUGGUUAGUAGGCAGACCCUCCCCUUUCGUGACACAUGCAAAAGCCAAUAGAAAGAGGGCAUUGCCGAUUUACUAGCUACCGCUCGCCUAUCAGAGGACUGGAGUCUGUGCUUCCGGUUGAUGCCCUGGGAGUCUGACCUGCGGUCGGCUAAGGGGGGCUGCGUGGGAGGGGCCUGUUAUGUGUGUGUGCUUCCCGAACGAAGGCAGAGUUAUACAGUGAGAGAGAGAAAAAAAGGUCUUCCUUCUGUUGGUUCACCCCCCAAAAAAGGACUAUUUUUUUUAAAGAUUUAUUUAUUUAUUUGAAAGUCAGAGUUACAGAGGAGGAGAGGCAGAGGCUGAGAGAGGUCUCCCGUUUGCUGCUUCACUCCCCAAAUGUCCACAACGGCCAGGGCUGGGCAAAGCCAAAACCAGGAGCUUCAUCCGGGUCUCCCACAUGAUACAGGAGUCCAAGCACUGGGGCCCUUCUCAGGCCAUUAGCAGGCAGCUGGAUGGGAAGUGGAGUAGCUGUACUGGAUCUGGUGCUCAUUUGGGAUGCCAGCAUUGCAGACAGUAACCUAACCUGUAAGCCACAGCACGAGCCCCUACAUUAUCUCUCUCUCUCUCUCUCUUUUUUUAAGACUUAUUUAUUUAUUUGAAAGUCAGAGUUACACAGAGAAAGGUCUUCUAUCUGCUGGUUCAUUCCCCAAUUGGAUGCAGUGGCUGGAGCUGUGCCAAUCCAAAGCCAGGAGCCAGGAGCUUCUUCUGGGUCUCCCAUGCGGGUGCAAGGGCCCAAACACUUGGACCAUCCUCUACUGCUUUCCCAGGCUAUAGCAGAGAGCUGGACUAGAAGUGGAGCAGCCGGGUCUUGAACGGGUGCCCAAAUGGGAUGCCAGCACUGCAGGUGGCGGCUUAACCCACUACACCACAGCACCAGCCACUACAUUAUCUUUUAAUUCUAUUUCUUAUAAACUUUUGGAAGCCCCUCAUGUGUGGACAUAAAUAAGCACGUAUUUAUGUUUUGUGACUAUACUGCUCUCUAAAAAGCACUUCUUUUAAAAAAAUUAUUUUUGGAAUGUAGAGCAUGAGUGAUAGGAGGAGGAAAAGAGAGAAUAGAGAAAGAGAUCUUCCAUUCACCAGUUCAUUUCCCAAAUGGCUGUUAACAGUCCGGGCUGGGCCAGGCCAAAGCCAAGAGCCAGGAACUACACCCUAGUUUUCCACAAGGGUGGCAUGGAUGCCAUCAUCUGCUGCCUUCCCAGACACGUUAGCUGGAAACAGAGCAGCCAGGACUUGAACCAGCACUUUGAUAUGGGAUGCCAGUGGCUCUGAUAUGGGUUAAGCAUUGGCUUACCCUGCUACUCCACAACUUGGCCUCUUAAAUUUUUUUUAAAGUAGGUUAUUUUUUCUUUAUUUGAAAGGCAGAAACGGGGCUAACAUUAUGCUGUGGGAGGUUAAGCCUCUGCCUGCAGUGCCAGCAUCCCAUACAGCCAGUGGUUCAAGUCCCAGCUGCCCCACUUCUGAUCCAGCUCUCUGCUAAAUCGCCUGGGAAAGCAGUGGAUGAUGGCCCAAGUGCUUGGGCCCCUGCUUCCACUUGGGAGACCCAAAGGAAGCCCCUAGCUCCUAGCCCAGCCCAGCCCCAGUCAUUGCAGUCAUUUGGGGAGUGAAUCAGCAGAUGGAAAACUUCUCUCUCUCUCUCUCUCUCUCUCUCUCUCUCUCUCUCUCUAACUCUGCCUUUCAAAUAAAUAAAAUAAAUCUUAGAGAGAGACCGACUCA